UACGGAGGGGGCAAGCGUUGUUCGGAUUUACUGGGCGUAAAGCGCACGUAGGCGGAUUGUUAAGUCGGGGGUGAAAUCCUGGAGCUCAACUCCAGAACUGCCUUCGAUACUGGCGAUCUCGAGUUCGGGAGAGGUGAGUGGAACUGCGAGUGUAGAGGUGAAAUUCGUAGAUAUUCGCAAGAACACCAGUGGCGAAGGCGGCUCACUGGCCCGAUACUGACGCUGAGGUGCGAAAGCGUGGGGAGCAAACAGG
Molecule: ribosomal RNA, 253 nt
Filed under: uncultured bacterium
Lineage: Bacteria
Description: partial 16S ribosomal RNA
Rfam family: Bacterial small subunit ribosomal RNA
Source: RNAcentral